ACAACAAUGACGCAACCUCAGUCGUCGAGAGGUGCUCAGUGGAGGAGGUUAUGCCGCUGGUGCUCCGCGGUGGUCCAUAUCCGUAACUAGUCUCAGCACUGCCAAAGGGCCCAGGAGGAGUGUGCGAGGGGAUGUGCUGCUCUCUAUGGCUUGCUGGGAGGCAUGUUCUUGUUGGCGGCCGCCUCGUCGGCCAGCUUCUGCCACUGCUGCCGGUUGUGCCGCACGCCGUCCAGGAGCGGCCCAAGGUCGGGGGUCAUCUCCGCGAAGGCCUGAGAAGAUUACAAAGAUGUUGCUUUUCAAGUCCAUGUUGUGGAUCCUGACGCCUAAGCUUUGUCACAUGAACUCAAGGCCGUGACAUCUAAGCAUCAGUAAGCUGUGUUACCUGCUUCUGUAUGGGCCAGGGCUUGGUGAUGGCGGCGAUGUCACAAAUGGUCAUCAUCAUGCCGCGCACCUGCUCCCGCACCUCCUCGUGGCUCAGCUCAUAAUCCUGCGUCUUGACCAUGUUGAAGAACCCGCCACGCUUCCUGUGGGGGGGAGACGGGGGUGGUAAACAGCGUCCUUUUGGAAGUGUUAUCUUGAUACAGAAAUUAUAAGAACUUUGCCUGCUGCCUU
Long non-coding RNA from Eriocheir sinensis (Chinese mitten crab), 612 nucleotides. RefSeq lists it as uncharacterized. The transcript has 5 exons. NCBI's taxonomy places the organism in Eukaryota, Metazoa, Arthropoda, Malacostraca, Decapoda, Varunidae. The record is from RefSeq and is a predicted model, not a curated record.